AGAGUUUGAUCCUGGCUCAGAAUGAACGUUGGCGGCGUGGAUUAGGCAUGCAAGUCGUGCGAGAAGGGUCUUUUGCUUGCAUUGGACCUGGAAAGCGGCGAAAGGGAGAGUAACGCGUAGAUACCUACCCCCGGGUCCGGGAUAGCGGCGGGAAACUGGCAGUAAGACCGGAUAAUGUCUCCGGACCAAAGGUGUGAUUCCGUCUGGGGAUGGGUCUGCGUCUUAUUAGCUUGUUGGUGGGGUAAUGGCCUACCAAGGCGAAGAUGGGUAGCGGGUGUGAGAGCAUGGCCCGCCUCACUGGGACUGAGACACUGCCCAGACACCUGCGGGUGGCUGCAGUCGAGAAUCUUCGGCAAUGGACGCAAGUCUGACCGAGCGACGCCGCGUGCGGGAUGAGCGAUACCGCGUGCGGGAUUAAGGCCUUCGGGUUGUAAACCGCUGUCAGAGGGAAGGAAAUUUUGACCGAACCUCAGAGGAAGGACGGGCUAAGAUCGUGCCAGCAGCCGCGGUAAGACGAACUGUCCGAACGUUAUUCGGAAUUACUGGGCUUAAAGGGUGCGUAGGCGGCCUUGCAAGUCAGGUGUGAAAUCCCACGGCUCAACCGUGGAACUGCGCUUGAAACUGCAAGGCUUGAGGGAGAUAGAGGUGAGCGGAACUGAUGGUGGAGCGGUGAAAUGCGUUGAUAUUAUCAGGAACACCUGCGGCGAAGGCCGCUCACUGGAUCUCUUCUGACGCUCAGGCACGAAAGCUAGGGGAGCGAACGGGAUUAGAUACCCCGGUAGUCCUAGCUGUAAACGAUGAGUACUGGAUCGAGGGGACUCCCACAUCCUCUCGGUCGUAGCGAAAGUGUUAAGUACUCCGCCUGGGGAGUAUGGUCGCAAGCCUGAAACUCAAAGGAAUUGACGGGGGCUCACACAAGCGGUGGAGGAUGUGGCUUAAUUCGAGGCUACGCGAAGAACCUUAUCCUGGUCUUGACAUAGUUAGGAAUUCUCGUGAAAGCGAGAAGUGCCCUUCGGGGAGCCUUUUUACAGGUGCUGCAUGGCUGUCGUCAUCUCGUGUCGUGAGAUGUCGGGUUAAGUCCCUUAACGAGCGAAACCCUUAUCCUUAGUUGCCAGCGAGUAAUGUCGGGGACUCUAGGGAGACUGCCGGUGUGAAACCGGAGGAAGGUGGGGAUGACGUCAAGUCCUCAUGGCCUUUAUGAUCAGGGCUGCACACGUCCUACAAUGGUACGUACAAAGGGAAGCAAGACCGCGAGGUGGAGCAAAUCCCAAAAAGCGUGCCUCAGUUCGGAUUGCAGGCUGAACCCCGCCUGCAUGAAGCCGGAAUCGCUAGUAAUCGCGGGUCAGCAUACCGCGGUGAAUGUGUUCCUGAGCCUUGUACACACCGCCCGUCAAGCCACGAAAGUGGGGGGGGCCCGAAGUCGCCGAGCUAACCCGCAAGGGAGGCAAGCGCCGAAGGUCAAAUCCGCGAUUGGGACUAAGUCGUAACAAGGUAGCCGUAGGGGAACCUGCGGCUGGAUCACCUCCUU
RNAcentral lists this ribosomal RNA (1528 nucleotides) under uncultured prokaryote. RNAcentral's name for it is "partial 16S ribosomal RNA". It matches the Rfam family "Bacterial small subunit ribosomal RNA". The record is from RNAcentral.